UGUUGUGUAGUGGUCUGAACACUAGACUAGGAGUCUGGAGACCAAGGUUCAAAUCCCUGCUCAGCAA
Molecule: non-coding RNA, 67 nt
Organism: Phrynosoma platyrhinos (Desert horned lizard)
Lineage: Eukaryota; Metazoa; Chordata; Lepidosauria; Squamata; Phrynosomatidae
Source: the annotation of a GenBank genome assembly